Molecule: long non-coding RNA, 7162 nt
Filed under: Nicotiana benthamiana
Lineage: Eukaryota; Viridiplantae; Streptophyta; Magnoliopsida; Solanales; Solanaceae
Description: long non-coding RNA (NBEN_LNC021076)
Source: RNAcentral
UCAUCGUUACAUCUUCAUAUAACCAAUCCCCAAACCCUAACCCGCCGUCUCCUUUCUUGCACCACCUUGGGGUGGCGGCGCCUGUCCCAUUCAGCCCCAAAAUAACAUCCCGAAUUCUUCUCAACCCUCUCAUUCCAAAUACCUGAACUAUUUUCCUCGAAUAUAAUCCAGUCAUCUCGAAUCUUCAAUCAAACGUUUGACCAAAAACCCCAAUCCUCCCAAUCCGGUCAAAAUCGUACCCUACAGUCUUCUAGGUCUCCUCAAUCUGAAUUCCAAGUCAAGAAUCUUCAAAUUCAAGUGAAGUUCUGCCAAUUGCAAAUCUAGGGUUUGGCCCUUUUGACGUUAAGAGCUGAAUUGACCCCUGCAAUGGUUUCCUAGUUUCAAGCGUGUAGUGAGUUCUCCUCUUUUACUUUGUUUACGGUUCUUUCUCUUUGGCCCUUCUGGGUUUCUCUUUUGUUUUUUCUAUUUUCAGUGUGGUUAAUCUAUGUUCUUUUCCUUGGUAUUUUAAUAUGAAUUAACAAAUAUAGUUUGUUCGUUUUAAGUGUGUUGCUUAGGCAUGAGUAUUAAAGUCAAGCAUGUUGAUUUUUUCGAUCAGUUUAGGUGUCGUCUGAUCACUGUUUCAUCAUUGUUCGCCGGUUUUAAUUUUUUGCUUUACGAUUCAAUUGGUUCUCAUUUGGUUUAAUUUUUCUUUUGAUCAUGUGUUGUGAUAUUUGAAGUGUGUUUUGACAAGUUUUAGUUUUAUUAGUUAGUUAGAUUAGAUCGCUCUUUGAAUCAUUUUUUCAUUAGUAAAAUUGGAUUGGUUUUUUAGCUUUGUUAAUUCACUAGUUAUGGCUUUAUUAAGCUCUUAGAAUAAUUGUAGUUAAACUUCAACUAGGGUUAUUUCAGUCUAGUAAAAUUCAGGGUAAAGGCAGGGGUAGUUUGGGCAUUUAACCAUAUGAUAGAAUAGAAUCCCCAGAAUCUUUUAGAAUGGGGCUCAAGUUUAUAUUUCAGUAAGUUUAGGGUUCAGUCUAGUAAAAUUCAGGGUAAAGACAGGGGUAUUUUGGGCAUUUAACCAUAGGAUAGAAUUUUGUAGAUUAGAAUAGAAUUCCCUAGAAUCUUCUAGAAUGGGGCUCACAUUUAGAUUUUAGUAAGUUUAGGAUAUUAACUUGAGUGACAAGUCAGAACUUCAGGACUAUCUGAAUAAAAUCUUAAAACAAAGAGGGGGAAAAUGAAUGAGGGAAUUCUAGAAUCUUCCUACCCCCUUCUUGCAUAUAAAAGGCAGCCCCAAUGCAUUAAGAAACAAUUUUGGAAGCCCAAAAAUUCCCCUAAAAACCUUUCCUGCAUAUCUGAAUCCCUAGUUUGAAUUUCAAAUUUAGAAUUUUAAAAAUAUGAACUCUUAUAGUUUCCACCUUCUUUUAGAUCUGAAUUCCUAUUCAAAAAUCCAAAAACAAACAGAAAUAUAGUAAAAAAAAGGUAUUGUUUCAUUGAAAUUUUAGUAUGAUUUUGAUUUCUAGUUGUUAAUUCACAUCUUCUCGUCCAAUAUCUAUUGGCUGGGAGCUUUAGAGGUGUCCUGGUUCAAAUUCGAGCUAGUUUUGGUUUACAUGAGUUGUGUUGGUCGUUCAAACUGCAUUUGGUUAAUUCAGUCAGUUUUUGGGUCUAGUUGCUGUUGUUUCUCGCUACUAGUUUUACAAAAUUCAAGCUGAAAUAGCUGUGAUAGUCCUUCACUGCUUGAAUCUGUGCCUCUCACAUUGCUGCUGAUCUCUCCUUUCCUCAUUUCUCUUAUCAAAUUCCAGGUACACACUCUGGACUAACUCAAUGUAGCUUCUCCUGUCAAACAAUGAAAUGAAACGGAGGCGAUUCUCUACUGUAGAUCUACUGUUUGAUAAUUCUAUCAUGUUUAAGUAGAUUUUCUGUGAUUUGGUUGGUCGUUCAAUGUAAUUAACUUUGGAUUGUAAUUAGGACUGCUUUAAAGUGAUUUGGACUGUCUUUUCUGGACUUUCAAUUUGUAGUAAUUGAUCAAACUCUAUAAUUGUAUAAUUGUUCUAAUGGUGGCAUUAUUUGUGAACACUAGAAUUAGCAGGCUAUUAACACUAGAAAAAUAGGGGGCAAUCAUUGAGAUUUGAAUAGAGUAUUUUAAAAAUUGUGUUAAAUGGACUGUGAGCUAUAUUUGUAUAAUCCAUGUCGGUGUGGUUGUGUUAAUUUAAGCAUUGUUUGAGGACCGACUGAAAAUGAGUAUUAACUUAGGAUUUAACCAAAUAUGAGCAUAAUUCUCUAGGUUCUUCGGAGUUUAGUUUACUUUUGGAAAUCAUAAACAUCAUAUCAAUACGAUAGGUGUUGCGUCUCCUGUUUAACAGACGUUGGCUACGCUAAUUCAUUCAUUGAGUUCAAUAAUUAAUUAUAGUACUUCCUUGGAUUAUAUCUAAUCAGAAUACAAGUUAAAAUAAGAUUGAUGGUUGCUGAGUUGAUCGAAUUUGGAAUUACCUUCAGUUGUUACUCAAAAUUCUGAACCUAAUUGUGCAAACUCAACCGUGAGUACUUAGCUGAUCCUAAGCAUUCUGAGCUUAACAGCCCAUUCAGGUGUUUUGGUGUCACUGAUGCCUGAGCUACUUAUGUUUAUGAUGUAGCGUUCGAAAUGGGCCUGUAGUAAGGCCCAAGGAUGGUUGGCCGCUCCUGAAAUAAAAAAGCUGGUUAUUUAUAUUGGGCUGAACUUGAGAACAGAUACACUAACGACUCUCACUCCUUUAAUCAUGAUUUAGUUUAGGCUUUGGGCCUAUAAAUUAAAUUUCUUUUAGAGAUAAUCCCUUAAUAGAUAACCAUAGUCCAUUUCGAGGAUGCCUUUUAUAUAAAUGAGACGAGCCUCGCUGAACAAAACACAUAAAUUGCGGGACCCUCGAUAAAUACCUGUAUUAAAUACUUAGAAUUCAGGAUGGGCCGCCUAGCAAAUAUUGUUUUACCCAAAGAUAAUAACGUGUUAGUAUCUUUAGGCGCAUAUUAUAAUAACAUUACCUACUAAACUCGGGUGCACAAUUAUAUAACCCAAAUCCAAAUCUCAACGAAGUCGAAAUAUGUCAACAACCACGGGUGUAUUUAUGUGACGUGGUUCGAGAAACGUUUUUACGACAUUGCAAUUCUCGUUAAAAAUAAUAAUAAAAACGAUUAAGAUUAAAAGCACAUAAGAAAAAAUAUGUUUUGAAAUAAGAUAAUAUUCCAAAUAUAACAGUUGAGCAACCUUUCUAGAACCACGGAACCCGGGAAUGCCUAACUCCUUCUCCCGGGUUAACAUAAUUUCUUACUCGAAUUUUUGGUUCGCGGACUGUUAACAGAGUCAUAUUUUUCUCAGUUCGGGAUUCAAUCGGUGACUUGGGACACCAUUAAUCUCCUAAUUGGCGACUCUGAAUCCUAAUAAUAAAUCCCAUUCCCAUUGUCCUUUAACUAGAAAAACUCUUUUAUGCCCUUGCAGGUGUAGUGAAAAAGAAGGUGUGACAGCUAUGGCGACUCUGCUGGGGAGGCAAACCCAGAACUUCGGUUCAAGUUUAGGAGUUCGAUCUUAGAAUAAUUGUUAUGUUUGGCUUUAUCUGAUUUUCCUACAUGUUUCCUACUAAAUGUGCUUAAUGCUUUACCGCUUUGAUAUUAUCUGAACUGUAUAUAAAUUGUGCCGAAACCCUUCUCUUCUCACCUCCGGGGAUGUGCUUACUGGUUGAGACUCCCUAUUAUGUUAGUGUCAUACCCUGAAGUAAGAAAGAGGCUCGGAUAAGAUACAAAACCGAACAAUAUUGCGGGUCCCCAGUACGUAGCCCCCUACUCGACUUGAAUUGUCCGCUCAGGUACACAGUCUAGGACAUAUACUCAGGUUUUGAACCUAGAUUAAUUUGACUUCAUGCUGGAUCCCUAGUAGGAACGCUUAUUUGAAUCACGUGCAUUUGUCGUAGGGACUCAAUACAGGGGCUGGGUCUGUCUAGGAAAGGUAACCUGAAAUGGUAAAGACCAUCAUGAUGCAUCUUACGUGUUGCAUAUGCAUUUAUUUGUCUUGGACUUGCAUGUUGACCAGCUUUGGAGUAUUUGGAAAUAAUUUAAAAAAGGGAAAGAAAUAGCAACAUAGAGAGUUAAUUAUCUAUUUUAGAAAAAUAACCAAUGUCAAAAUAGUAUCGAAACUCCGUCAAUUUUUUGAGAAAAAUGGAAAGGACGAAAAAGGAAAAGAAAAUAUUAUUUUCAAAAAAAUGGUUUGUUUUAUUGGUCAAGAAAAAGGAAAAAAAAAUAAAGAGUUUCAUUUUCAAAUAGUUUGCAGAAAAAGAGUAUAGAAAAAGAGUAUUGUUGUCACAACCCCAACCCGAUCGUGAUGACGUCCAGCACAUUAUUAGGCAACCCCAACCUUGUUACCACAAUUUCCACAAACUUAAUAGAUUUCAAAAGCAAUAACACCAUAUAAUAGGAGUCUGAAUUUACUGAAAAGUUCGGAAAUGACAAAAUACAUGAAAUAGUCCCACUAGGACCCAGUGUCACAAUUCUGAGUCUCUAGAAUACAUAGUGUCGUACCAACAUAAAGUCUGUCUAAGCUGAAAGUGCGAAAAAUAAGAGACAGGGAUGGAAUGAGAAAGUCAAUGGUUACGAAUGCCAUGCAGCUACCUUAACACUCCCGAAAAGCUGUAUCUGCUGAACUGCUGGAUCUACUCAACCUGUGACUGCUCUAGAUCUGCAUACAAGGUGCAGGGAGUAAAGUGAGUACUCCGACCCAGUGAGUAAUACAAAUAAAUACAGUCCGAAGAUAAGAAAACAUAGAAAAUACACAAGGUAAGCUAACAAUACAAUGAUACAAUAAUAUGUGAAACUUACAACUAAACCACAAAUAAAGGUGCGAAUGCAUGAAUGCAAAGCAGUGCAUAUGAUGAUACAAACCAGUACCUGAUAAGGCAUGCAGCCCGAGCCAACCAUGCAUAUGAUUGAUCGUUGAUGGGGCUCACUGGGGGUGUGUACAGAUUCCGGAAGAGCUCCUACAGACCAUGCUCAAUAUACCGAUCAGCCAAUGUUACCAGGCCAAUUUACAUCAUAUAGUGCCAUUGUUACCACUAUUUCAAGUCGCAUCCUAAAGUGUAAUUGUUACCACUAUUUCAAGUCACUGCUGCGGAGCGUAAACCGAUUCAUGCUCAGUUCAGAAAACAUUAUGAAGCAGUAAUCCUCAGCCCGAGAUAUCAUUUAAGAAGUCAUUUAAGCUUUCAAAACAUAGAAAUGUGGCUGAGUUGCAAAACAGUAUAAAACUUUGUACUGAUAUCAAAUGAUAUGCAAAUGCAUGCAUGAACAGAAAUACCAAUCCCCGAAUGAUUCUACAAGUCGGCACAAGACCCCAAACAUGGCAACAAGCCCAAUGAAUAUCAAUAAGGUAUGUGUAUCAGUCACCAAUCUAGUAGGAAUAUCACACGGGAUGGACCAAGCUUAUAUCAAAAUGUUCCUCAUCUCACCACGAGUCUAUAUAUAUAAAAUUCAUCAAAAUCGGAGCUUAAAUAGGCCAUCAAAUCCCAAAUUUUUAUUUCAAAAACCAAGCCCUAGUUCUUCCAUUUUUUACCCAAAUUUCCAAGAAUUUAAGGUUGAUUCUUCAAUAAAAAUGAUGUUUCUAAGUCACGAGACUCACCUCCAAUCAAUUCCCGUCGAAACCCCCUUCAAUCCCUACAAAAAAAGCUCCCAAUGUGUUCAAAAAUGGAGGAAAAAGGAAUAGGCUCGAGGAUGAAAUUUCAUUAAAAAGCUUUCUGUCGAGAUGUAAUUCCUUCUAUGCGAACGCAAGGGUCCUCACGCAUUCGCGAUGACCAAAUUCCACUGAGCCCUCAUUUACUCUAGGCGAAUGCGAUGCCCUAGGUUCUAUGCCUACGCGAACGCGUCCUAUCCUCGCGAAUACGAUGAAUAAACAAACCCCCUUAUGCGAACGCGGUCCACACCUCGAGAACGCAUUGACCAACUUCGGCAAGGCCCCUGGGCCCUUCUACGCGAACGCGGGUCCACCCCCGUAAAUGUGAUGGUAUACUCCAUAGAACAAUGCGAACGCGACCUUGAGCCACGUGAAUGGGAAGACCAUUUUCCAGGCCUCUCAACUUUACUCUACGCGUUCGCAACACAGACCUAUGCGAGCAUGAUGAACAAAACCUCGACAAUUACACAAUCGAAAAGCUCCAAUACUCUAAGUCAAAAAAUCUUCCAUUUAGCCAUCCGAAAUCACCCCGAGGCCCCCGGGACCUCAAGCAAAGGCACCAACAUAUCCCAAAACAUCAUACAAACUUGUUCCAUUCCUAAAAACACAUCCAACAACACAAAAAUCAUUAAAUCACAAUGGAUUCAAGUCUAAGUUAAACUAAUACUUCUGAAACUCGCAUUCGAUCAGAAACCCGACCUAAACACCUUCGAAUCAACUAAUUUUUGCACACACAUCCAAAAUCACUAAUGAAGCUAGUGAAACUCUCAAAAUUGCAUUCCGACCCUCAGAUCAAAAUCUCGCAUAUCAACGGGAUUUCGCCAAAAUCCUAACUUCGCCAAAAUAUGUUAACUUCUACAUCGAACCUCCAAAUUCACUUUCGAUUUCUCUCCUAAGCCUUAAAUCAUCCCCCAAAGCUAUCCGAACCCUCGGAAAUCCAUUCCGAGCCCUCUAAAUCACAAGUCAACAUCUGAUUGACUAUUCCAAACCAAACUUUCACUAAAGAGACUAAUUAUCUUAUUUCAAACCAAACUCUACCCGAAUUACUUAAAAUUCACCAAUCACAUAUAAUGAAACAAGUAGAAGCAUAAAAGGGGAAAACGGGACGAAAACACAUGAGACGACUGGUCGGGUCAUCACAUCCUCCCAACUAAAACAAACGCUCGUCCUCGAGCGAGUCAACAAACAUACCUUAAGUCUCAAAUAGAUGCGGGUAUUUGUUCCGCAUCUCCUUCUCGGUCUUCCAAGUAGCCUCCUUCACGAGCCGACCUCGUCACUGUACCUUCACCAAAGCUAUAUGAUUUGACCUCAAUGUCCAAAUCCAACGACCCAAAAUAGCCACUGGCUCCACAUCAUAAGUCAAAUCAUCAUCCAACUGAACCGUGGUGAAAUCCAAAAUAUGAGACGGGUCCCCAACAUACUUCCGGAUCAUGGAAACGUGGAAUAUCGGACGAACACCCGAUAAUCUGGGUGGCAAAGCAAGCACAUAGGCCACCUCCCCAAUCCUCC